Molecule: long non-coding RNA, 681 nt
Filed under: Oryza brachyantha (malo sina)
Lineage: Eukaryota; Viridiplantae; Streptophyta; Magnoliopsida; Poales; Poaceae
Description: long non-coding RNA (OBRA_LNC002640)
Source: RNAcentral
CAGCUGUACCAGCACAACUCAGAAACUAAGCACCUCUAUUUCCAUCACAUGCAUGGACAAAAAUCACCUCAGAGGCAAAAACGUUGGAUAUCUAUCAUCUCAACCAAUUUUUUUGGUGUCCUUAAAAUCUCGCAGCAUCAUCUACUGCUCUUUGACCUUCAGCAUCUUCUCCGGUGAAACCAUAAAAGUAGAUCCAUUUAAAAACACCAUUGUUGAGGGGAAUAUAACUUUAUUCUUCUAUUUAUCGUCACUGUGCAUGAAAGAGAAUUUACUGAAUAUUAUUUUCACGGAUGGCAACACGCUUAUUUCCUAAUACCCUCAUAUUCCCAGCAGAGAAUUGAGUGAAGAACUAGUUUGCUUAGUACUUUCAUGGCUAUCGUCAAUGAGGGUGUUAUCUUACAGGGGAAAGGAGGGAAGGGUCUCCUGGAUGUUAAAUAUAAGUCCAGAAUAUUGGUGAAGUCCCAUUUUCUAGCUAGGUAGAUGGAGACAGUAGUGUUCAUAGUCCUUGUUAACUUAUGGCAAUUUAUUUGUUUGCAAGAAAACAAACAUAUGUCGUUCUUUUUUUCCUCGUAGUCUGAAAUUUCACGCAGAUGCUAAUGAAUUUAUUUCAUGUUGCAAGAUUGCAAUAAAAAGAAUAAGGUUAAUAGCGCACUAAUUAUGAUAAAAUAUAUAUUUCAGGAC